RNAcentral lists this ribosomal RNA (504 nucleotides) under uncultured bacterium. RNAcentral's name for it is "bacterial SSU rRNA". It matches the Rfam family "Bacterial small subunit ribosomal RNA", at positions 36 to 524 of the family's 1533-position model. The record is from RNAcentral.
AAAUGACUGGCGGCAGCUUACACAUGCAGUCGAACGGUAGCAGGAAGAAAGCUUGCUUUCUUUGCUGACGAGUGGCGGACGGGUGAGUAAUGCUUGGGAAUCUGGCUUAUGGAGGGGGAUAACUGUGGGAAACUGCAGCUAAUACCGCGUAUUCUCUGAGGAGGAAAGGGUGGGACCUUAGGGCCACCUGCCAUAAGAUGAGCCCAAGUGGGAUUAGGUAGUUGGUGGGGUAAAGGCCUACCAAGCCGACGAUCUCUAGCUGGUCUGAGAGGAUGAUCAGCCACACUGGAACUGAGACACGGUCCAGACUCCUACGGGAGGCAGCAGUGGGGAAUAUUGCGCAAUGGGGGGAACCCUGACGCAGCCAUGCCGCGUGAAUGAAGAAGGCCUUAGGGUUGUAAAGUUCUUUCGGUGAUGAGGAAGGCGAUUAAUUGAAGAGAUUAAUUGAUUGACGAUAAUCACAGAAGAAGCACCGGCUAACUCCGUGCCAGCAGCCGCGGUAAU